CCUACGGGAGGCUGCAGUGGGGAAUAUUGCACAAUGGGCGCAAGCCUGAUGCAGCCAUGCCGCGUGUGUGAAGAAGGCCUUCGGGUUGUAAAGCACUUUCAGCGGGGAGGAAGGCGUUAAGGUUAAUAACCUUGGCGCUUGACGUUACCCGCCGAAGAAGCACCGGCUAACUCCGUGCCAGCAGCCGCGGUAAUACGGAGGGUGCAAGCGUUAAUCGGAAUUACUGGGCGUAAAGCGCACGCAGGCGGUCUGUCAAGUCGGAUGUGAAAUCCCCGGGCUCAACCUGGGAACUGCAUUCGAAACUGGCAGGCUAGAGUCUUGUAGAGGGGGGUAGAAUUCCAGGUGUAGCGGUGAAAUGCGUAGAGAUCUGGAGGAAUACCGGUGGCGAAGGCGGCCCCCUGGACAAAGACUGACGCUCAGGUGCGAAAGCGUGGGGAGCAAACAGGAUUAGAUACCCGAGUAGUC
RNAcentral lists this ribosomal RNA (465 nucleotides) under uncultured Klebsiella sp. RNAcentral describes it as "bacterial SSU rRNA". It matches the Rfam family "Bacterial small subunit ribosomal RNA", at positions 338 to 795 of the family's 1533-position model. Lineage: Bacteria; Pseudomonadati; Pseudomonadota; Gammaproteobacteria; Enterobacterales; Enterobacteriaceae. The record is from RNAcentral.